This is a long non-coding RNA of Populus euphratica (Euphrates poplar), 950 nucleotides long. RefSeq lists it as uncharacterized. NCBI's taxonomy places the organism in Eukaryota, Viridiplantae, Streptophyta, Magnoliopsida, Malpighiales, Salicaceae. The transcript is spliced from 2 exons. The record is from RefSeq and is a predicted model, not a curated record.
ACUCUUAAAAAAAAAAAAAAGAUUUACGAGAAACAAGAUAUGCGAGAGAGAUAUUUACAAUCUUAGAGCCCUACAAAAAAUUCCAUGUCCAAUCAAAUUGAUGGCCCCCAGUUACUAUCUGGUCACGGAAUCUCCUCCUGUGCAUGAAAGCAAGGUGACGGGAUCAUGAUCAUCCCCGGAAUUCAUUCUUAAGCUUACAGCUAGAAGGAAAAGGAGUUUCUUCCUGGAGUCUAUCAUUUCUAUGCUGGCAAUUUACUUGCCCUAAAUCAUCAUCACCACCCCUCUGAGAAUCUAUUAUCUUUUAGACAGAUGGGAGUGGUAUUGUUCAAGAGAUACCAGUUUUUCUAAAUGUUGAUUUUAGGAAUUAAAUUAAAGAAAUUAAACGAGGGAAGAAUUCUUUUUUAACCACUUGGAUUAAACAUCAUGCUCUCGUGGAAGACAUGGAUGAAAAUGGUGUCCCACAUCGCAAUAAUGGUAGCUCCCGUCCCUGGAGAGACGGCCACCACCGUCAGCCUCAGAAGGAGGGCCAGUCUCCACAUGGAGGGCCACCAAUUGCUUACCUAGCACGAGCAAGUCAAGGUUGUCUUUGGAAAUAAAUAUUAUUGAAAGCGGUGAUGACCCUUGACUUGUUCGCCCUUGGUCUUGUCACUGGGAGCAUGGGUCUGAGUCAGCAUGCCACUAAACAAUUCAUAGUUCACCCACCUGGCUAAGCAGCAAACGUCAAAAUUUGAAAAGUUUAGGUGGUCUGAAAUCUAACACCACCAUGUUUUCCUGCCUAAAUUGUCUCCAUCAGUCCAAUUUUUGUAUAGUCUAAGGUAAUUGCUGAGUUGUUUUGAAUAUUCAAAGCAAAGACUGAACAUUACCCCUUCAACUGGCUAUUCUAAAGCCCUCUCUAUUCAUCAGCCCUGAACAAAAAGUUAAAAACAAAAACAAAACUAAAAGAAACACUA